Long non-coding RNA from Adelges cooleyi (spruce gall adelgid), 1756 nucleotides. RefSeq lists it as uncharacterized. Lineage: Eukaryota; Metazoa; Arthropoda; Insecta; Hemiptera; Adelgidae. The transcript is spliced from 3 exons. The record is from RefSeq and is a predicted model, not a curated record.
CGCAAUAUGUUAUUUAAAUAGGAACACUUGUGUCGAAACACAAAAUAUAAACUCGAAAUGUGCCAAUUGUAUUUAUUACGGUUUUCGUCGUUGUAGUGUUUUAAGUUAGCUUCACGUUACAGAUUAGAAUGAAACUACUAGAUAUUUUUGCUUGUUUUAUUAUUGUGUUUUUAUAGGCACAAUUUUAGUAUUCAUACGUUAAACAUUUAGCUGAUAGUAUUGUUAUUACACUGACUAAGCUAACAUCAUAACAUGCACUGUGAAUCUAAAACUAAAAAUACUCGUAGAUACCACAGACGGAAGACGAAUCAUAGGUCGGGUCGAAGAGGUGACAGUGUUACGAUGCACGUCACGGAUUAGAAUGACACUAUUCAUUAUUAUCUAUAUUUGAAUCUGACGGGCCUUCACGUAAUUUGUUCAACGAUUCUUCUAGAAACCUCAACUAAUCGGUCAUGCAGUCAAACAUCUUGCGACUUUUUUCUAUUUGACCUAACGCUAAAUCGAGUACAUGCCAAAAACUGUCAUAUUUCAAAGGAUAUGCUAUAGCAUCAAGUGUCUUUUCACUUUCGACCAAUAUUAACGUUGAAAGAUCACAUUACCAAUUUUUUAAUUGGCAUUUGGAAAUUCUGUCGAUGGCAGACCCGAUGAAUCCAGGCAAAUGUAUACUGCCUUUGUAUAUUGUAAUAUCAGAAGAUCAUUAUUAUAGUAGCCCGACCAGACUAACGCAAAUAACAAAGAGUAACAAAACCACCAUAUACAUGAGUCAAAUGGCAAAUGUUGAUAUCAUGUACCGACAAUGAAGAUCUAGUUUAUAGCCCCAACGUCAUACUAAGCAAUCCUGGAUGAAGUGAAAUCGACCAUAUCAAAGGAAAACACCAGUGCUCUACAAAUUCAUUUUCCGGCAAUGAUCUGUUUAUACCCAUCGAAGAACCCGAUAAUUUCUAUGUAAGCGCGAUGAAAAUUUCUACGAUAAAUACUGGAUGACCGCUCAAUUGAUUGCAUGUGUGUACGCGAAGGUCAUUUUAGAUAAUUUAUCAUUUAUUCUAUUUAUUGUACACAAAAGCACACGUGACGCAAAAAGUGUGAGUAAUAAGCUCCGUGUCCGAAGGCAUUACUAUAAAACCAACAAGGCAUAUUUUCCAAAAGCUAUAGGAACUGUUUUGAACUAUGACAGAUUUUUGGAUGUGCUCGAUUUAGCGUUGGGUCAAAUAAAAAAAAGUCACAAAAUGUUUGACUGCAUAACCAAUGCGUUGAGUUUUUUAGAAGAAUCGUUUAACAAAUUACGUGAAGGCCUGUCGGAUUCAAAUAUAGAGCUUAUAAAGAGAAGCUUUCUAUUCGUAACGUAAGGCAAGCUAUGAAACAAUACAACGACGAAAACCAUAAUAAAUACAAUUAAAAAAUUUCAAGAGUUCCCUUUUUGUUGGAAAAAUUUUUGAAAUAUCAUAUAUUUGAGCAAAUUGAUUCAUUUUACAAACGAAAACUGCGAAAUUUUACAAACCGCAAACACAAGCGAACCUCAGACUUUAAGUGUGCAUCAGGCCUGUAUCAUUCAUUCCGUUGAAGACGUUCAAUUAGAAUGUGAAAAUCUAAAAAACAAGGACAUCAAUAAUUACUACCAAAAGUUAGUUGUCCCGAAAGAAGAAGAAAUAGUAAUGUAAAAUCACAUAACGUAAUUUGUUGUAAUCCGAAAUAUUAUAUUAAUGUAAUUUUGUUAAACUUAUUAUUUAUAUAAAUAACGAUUUUCUUAAUAAUCUAA